This is a non-coding RNA of Xyrichtys novacula (pearly razorfish), 593 nucleotides long. NCBI's taxonomy places the organism in Eukaryota, Metazoa, Chordata, Actinopteri, Labriformes, Labridae. The record is from the annotation of a GenBank genome assembly.
CCCCACAAACAAGCGUCUGCUGGAAGAGAGUAGGUGAGUUGUGUUUAGUCUCUUUGCUAAAGAAAUGAGUCAAAGUUAAAAAGAUGUUUGGUGUCUAGUACUAUGUCUGUGACCCUAUAUGUACUAACCUCAGUAGAACAUGGUGUAGUUCCGUUCAGUAACAGAACCUCAUUGGAAAAUUAGCUGAUUUAACUUUACUGUGCUCUUGUUCAAAUAUAUUAACUCAACAGCACAUAAAUCCAUACCUGUUAACAAAAUCAUGAUUUUAUUGAUAAUUCGGCUCAAUAAAAACACCUUUACCUUUUCAUUUUACUACAGUAGAAGUUUAUUGGCCCAGCUUAUAGACUACAGAAGUGGAGAAACGCCCCUUCUUAAGUUUGUUUUCUUAGGAGUUAGAACAACUCUGAAUAUAGUACUAUGUCUGUGACCCUAUAUGUCCUGUUGAUGAAGUUAGGUGCUGUUCUGAGCAUUAUUUGUGGCUAUAGAGUGGCGUUUUGGUUGGGGGCGUGGCUCUCUGUAUUUCUAUCCUGCGGUCGUUACUAAAGUUGGUAUAACUAGAGAAGGAAGCGGUCGACAACAUUCAUCUCUGGAGG